GACAGCCAUGCAACUAUACCAAGCUUUAUUGUAAUGAAACUCCAAACAAUGUCUAUAUACAUCAAGCAAAGCAUGCAACAUGGCAACCUAAAGACUGAUGGUGGGCGGACAUGGAGCAUCAGCAAGUGCACAUGGAUUACCACACACAACUGCAUGCAUAUCGUGUAAUUAUGCAAAAGACAUAUUCUGUAGGAAAAUGUGAAAGCAGAGAAUGGGACACUCUGCUCCAUUCCAAUCUUUUCAGGUGAAUCAAGGGCAGCCACAAAACUACCAGGUUCUUCGUCCUGAAGCACGGGGUUCAACUGAAAACUUCCAAGACCCACAAUGCAACAGCAGUGACAUCCAUAGGAAAUGGACUGGCUUAGCCAGGCAGCUCAGACAAAUAUGUAUAUCAUUAUGAUCACCUCCCAUUUAUAGCCUGGCCUUUUGAGAGGAUAUUGAUCAGGACCGCCAGAAGAGAUAAAUUCAUUCUAAUUAGACUUGGUGACUUGACCACUUAUGCUUUGAGAAUCAGGCUGGAGUCACUCUGAAAGGAGAUGAUCCCUCUUCUAUUCGGACAAAGCCUCUGUCAAAAACAGACAGAAAAUAUGCUCUGGUGGUUGAGUUGGUGGCAAUUGUACAGAGCUAGAUGCUCAUAAUUUUGGUAAUUUUGUAGGCUUCACAAUAGAGACACCAGGUAGCUGCACUAGAUUGCAGUGAAUACAUGGCAAGGCCAGAGCAAAGUGCCUCUUUGCCCCUAGCCAGGAUGCACCAGCCUCCUGCCCAAGUUCUCUAGCAUGCACAAGUCAUGUUUAUUUCACACAUCAAUUUCUAGAUGGGAGGAGAUGGGCAACUGAAAAAAAAAUACAACUCAGACUUGCUGUCUCUCUUCCCUCACAUUGAUGCAGUUUGGUCAUCCACUUUCAAUAUAUUCUGUAUCUUUUGGUGCUGUAUUGAAAGGAAUAGGGGGAAGAGUGGGAGGAGGAGCUCAGGGGGUAGGCUCUGAGGUACCAGGUGCUCUUAGGACUUGAGAUAAGCUCUCUGGCAUGUCUGCUGUGUGUCCAGGGCCUCUGUCAUAACUGCUAAUUUUUAUUAACAAAAGUAGACUCCUUUCCAAGUGGAAUAGUAAGCAGCUCUAAUAGAGUGACUGGCAUCCACUUUCUCUUUUCUGUCUUUAUCUCUAAUGCUUUUUCUGCCUUCCCCUCAAUGCCUCAGCACAGGUUAGGACUGAAGCCAUUCAUUCGCUGGGCAAAGGUUCCGAGAAGAGCUGCCUCAAGAGCAUUAGUGAGUCACAGUAUGACUGUCUCCUUUUAGGCAAAAUUCACGACAAACAAAAUUCUGCACUCAUCUAGCUUCAUGGUGCCUGGAGAAGCAAGCAGGCUCUUAGCCUGGAACACAGCAAUAAGUGCCAGAGGUUGACACACUGAAGCAGAAUUCGAAAGGAACACGUCUGCAGCUGAACUGUUCCUACAGUAGCGUUGGCGGCAUCUGUUCUCCAUUCCAUGCAUGGUGUUCUCUGCCACGAACAUUGCUCCUGACAUCCAUGUGGAUGUCUGCCACGUGUCAGUUAUUGGCUGGGGACCAGGAAGCAUUCUUAGCAUGUCAACAUCUUGGUAAAAUUGUCAGCAAUUUAUGACUCAUUACAUGUGAAUAUGCUGUGAGUUUUCCUGAUUGACCCACAUUCCAGGGCUGCAAACACGGUAGAGGAGUAGGGGUAGAAAUGUACAACCCAGAAGCCUGACAUUGCACAGGGCAUGAUCCGAGUUUGGGGAAAGGUCUAACAACCUGAUGACUAAUGAUGAGGAUAUUAGGAUGCAUUGAAACUAUGUAGGCUAUUUAGGGGGAGGAAGAAGAAAGGCUCUGAAGAACAUCUCUAAGUUAUUUUUCAUAAGCAUCACUACAAUUGCAUUUAAGCAACUUCUCCAUCUUUUCAGAGGACCACCUAGCAACACUGUUAUCUUUCAAUCCUGGGGACUUGGUUGUGGUGUGGCCGUUGCUUGGCUUCCUCCAGUAGUCACUGGUAUUACUGAAGAUUCCAGCCUGUGUCACUUUCAUCUUUAAAAGUCUUUCUUGAUCCCCAGAUCAUUAAUUAAUCCACAUAUCUUACAGUGUUUUUCUAAAUUUGCAAGCACAGAUUUUCACAUUAUUAUACAAUCAUCUGCCUUCUUUACUAAGCUGCAAGGAAUGAGUUUGUUUAUGCUUAUUGGUAAUUCCCCGCAAUAAGUAGUGAACUUCACAUAUGGCGAUAUGUUUCAUAAAGAUGAGCUCAUGACCUAAUAGAUGCAUGAACAAAUACACAGAGAACAUUACCAGAUUGUGUCAGGAAUAUGAAUUCUUAUUUAUAGGCUUUUUACCAAUUCUAUGAAAAUACCUAUAAAAUACUUUAUACAUAUUUGGAACAAGUAUUAAAAAUCAUUUUCUCUCUGUCAGUCCCAAAUCCCUAGCUGAAGGUAUAAGGGGGAAAAUCAAAUUAUAGUAUAUGCAUUGCUGCUGCUGCUGCUGCUGCUAUUAUUAUUGUCAGUUUUGGUGGUCUGAGGGACAGAGGUUUGUGCAGGGAUUUAACUCUUUCUGAUACUAUUUGCAGUAGAACCAGAGAGUAGCUGUGGUCUGUGGAUGGAGCAUCCAUCUGGCAGUUCCUGACUCUCUUCUAGAUGAUAAAGGUAACUGUGUGUGGGCCAAUAACUCAGCCACCUCUCACCCCCACCCAAGAGCCCACAGGAACUCUUCCCCAACACAAACAGCAACACACUCCAGUUCAGGCUUAGCACCAACUGAGCCUGGGAAUCACCAGGUCCCUUCAUCACAAAGCAGCAUAAAGUGGCUCUUCAUAGAUCGUGGAUUCAAUAUCAAACCCAGGAUGAUCGUGGCUGUCACAUAAUGUCAAAGAGUUUCUCACUUCAGCUGUCACUUAUGAAUCAGGGACAUGUGCAGGGUGCUCCUCGGGUAGUUUUAGGGCAGAGUCAGAUGCCCCAGAGGGCAUAUAGAACAGAGUAAAACCACAAAUGUCCAACCAAAAUGCUCUAGAAAAUAAGUCAGCAAUACUUGCAUUGCAUGGAACACAACUAUGAACCAUCGUUCUGUUCCUGCCAUGUUUCAGGGAGGUACAACUUACCCAUCCACAGCCACUGCAACCUGGGUUCAAGAACAGCCAUAUAAGAAAUUGAGGCUUUACAUGGUGUGUAUAAAGAAGCUAGGUCUAUAGUUAGCUCCCUCCAUUUGCUGUUUUGUUUUGGAGUUAAGAAUCUACCUCUCUAUCUUGGAUACUAUUCAUUAGAAAAGCUAUUGAUCUUUCUAGCCCAAAGAUCAAAUCCUUUAACAAGAAAGCAGAGAGACAAGGAAACUAAGUACUUGUCAAAUAAAGAAAGAUGGAACAUUGAGACGAGUGUCUCAUUACUAAAUCCUCCAGGAAAUUCCUGCCUAGUCUUGAACACUCAUUUCGGGUGGAAGGUCAAGGAGAGAAUGGACAUUUAAAGCUUAUUAAAGGAACUAACAAUACAGAAGACCUUCAACCAAAUUACUCACUUAGUCCCAAAUUCAAACCUGCAUUUUCCAUUGGUUCAAUUUGUUCUGCAUUUUCUAAACAAACACUGCCAACCAUGUUGUCUAUGCUUAAGCAGAUCGCAUCCACCUUCAUAACUAUCAAUUGGCUUGGCUUUAUUUUCUGUGAAGGGUAAUCCCAGCCAACAACUCCAAGUUUAAAAAGGGAGUUCAUCUUUGGUCACUGACAGCUUCCAGGCUCCUCUCCUAACAACAGUGACCCAGAAAAUGUUAUUUAGACUUUAUAUAGGCCAAGUUGUGCAGGUUCGUGGGACGGUGCAUGCCCAGCAAACUCUGGCUUGAGUGGCUGAACUCAAAUGGUCAGCAUAGCCCUAAUCUGUCCUGUUCUGUAUUUUCUAGAAAGUUCUUUUCCUUUGGCAGCAUACUCUAUCAGAAAAAUCUACCCACACAGAGUGAAGUGAGAGGCUCUAUACAGAAAUUAUUCUUUACUCAUAGACUCAACCUUUUUCUAUAAAAGGAGUAAAUCCUUCAGGCUUAUGGUCCAGUGGGGCUCAGGGGCAGGCUACCUACCUGCCAUUGGGACAAGAUAGCAAUGACAAUAAAGACACAGAAGUGGGUGGCUCUGGCUGUGUCCUAAGACAACUUUUCAUAGAUGAAUAUAAGUACAUGGUUCUAGACAAAGGCUGUGUUUGCUGUCCAUAGUCCUUGCAUUUGCUUUAAUGACAGACAUUUCAGAACAGCACAGAACUGGGAAACUCUGGGCAACAGACAUUUAUCCUCAGUGUGUGAUGACAUAAGCUGACCAGGGUCCACAACCCAUGUAAGGUCUGAGUGUUGAAGGUCUUAUCAUAUUUUUUGCAGACUGACAUUAUUUAUCAGGAAAAAAAAUCCAAAGAUUUUAAAGGGCACAUUAGACAAAUUUUGAAGAAAAAAAAUUUUAUGUCCACAUAACCCUAACCCAAGAAACAGAACAUUCCUACCACCCUGUGACAUUUCUGUGACCCCCCGAAGAAGUCCUGAUACCCAUCACGGUAGCUUAAAUUGUCUGUUUAUGUGAGACAAUCUUCUAUUGGAGACUGAGUUGGCCUCUGAGGCUGUGUCCCUACGAAAGACCUUGAACUUCUGAUCCUCCAGCCUACACAUCCCUAGUGCUAGGAUUGCAAGCACGCACCUCCUCACCAGUUCAUGCCCUCUUGUAAAUCAAACCUAGAGCCUCAUGCAUGCUAAGCACUCUACCAAUUAGCUGCAUUCCCAGCCCACAACAGCUUAGUUUAAUCUAUUAUGGGAUGCACCCAAAUGGAACCACAUGCAGUAGACUCUGAGGCACUGUGCCUUCAUUCAGUUUAUUGUGUUUGCAAUCCAGCCAUGUGCCACUGCAGCUAUUUGCACCCAUUCCUUUUGAUUGUUAUGCUCCACACUUGUGCAGACACUCUGCAAUCCAUCCCUAUCUCUUCACAAGGGCACCUUGCCUCUGGCCCAUAAAAUCAUCUCAAGUCAAAGAAGAAAUACCUUAAGAGGUGCCUACAUUGAAAACACAUUCUGGCACCUAUGCUACAUUCAGAUUUCUAUGUCAACAAAGUUAAUCCCCUACGCCACCCCCCACACACCAAAAUGGCCAUCUUGGCUCAGGGAGAAAUGUGCAGCACAGUGCCACUAAUAAAUAAUUCUUUUAUCACUAGAAUCCCAAGUAGGCUGCCCUGGCAAAUCCUGUAGAGCCCAUGAAUGUGUGUCUUCCAAGAUUUUCAUGUCUAUGUGAUGGACAGGCCUGUGGCAUUUCCUUUGCUGACACUGGACUGUGAGGCUGGACUGCAUAAUUAACACCCAUGGUUAUUUCUCAAUGCUUGCACCUGCCUCUCUUAAUUUAAUUAUCUCCCCAUUUCUACAAUUCACUGCACACUGGUGAUGACUCCACCUGGCCAUCCUUGCCCUGAAUCUCAACUCGCCUGCAGGACUUUUCAUCUAGAAAUAAUUAGGAACACAGGGUCCUCUGUCUCGUGGCCAAGUCAGCCAUGAACACUCCUAGACCAAGAGGGAAGUUUUAUCUUCAACAAAUGGGAGUCAGCUCACAGCCGUGUUAAAGGGACAGCGUUGACAUCUAAGCCUUUCUGCCUUGCUCAGAGCUACCGAAGAGAACAUGGUGAUGACCUUUCAGAAUGCUUAGAACACUCUGGUUCUGGGAAUAUUCUUUUCCCUAAGCUUGCUCGUGGUAAAGAGGAAAAUGACUUGAAAUCAUCCCACAGCAAACCCACGGCAAUAAGCUGCCAUUGACAUCCACUCUGGGGACACACAGGGACAAAGCAGAGAGCAAUCUGGAGAAGACUAGGGUCUUAUUCAUAGAUCUUUGUUCACCCUUGCAGCUAGUAUUUAUGUUUCUAAUAAUAUUCACGAGAGCACUAACCAAGGGACAAUCUCGAAAGGCUCUCCAUUUGCUUGUGUCUGUCUUUUUGGCUUCUUGUUGACUGUGGCCACUGAGAGCGUAAAACAGUGUCCUCAAAUUGGCAGUUUCAGUAACAAGGAAUAAAAUUAUAAGUAAAAUACUGAAAUGAUAAGAACUCUUAGUUGGAUUAAGUAAUGCCCUCCACAAGGCUUGCUGACAUUCCUUCCUCUCACCCCUACAGAGCUUUUAGAGUGUUCUUUUGUCGGGGGAAUCUCUCUUGAUCACUCCUGCCUGUCUGCAUAUAUGGACACCUAGCAGUGCAUACUCAUUUUCAUGCCCAUAAAUAUAUAUGAUACAUACAUAAAUAUAAAUGCAAAGAAAGGUAAAAUGACUGGGUUUUCAUUAUCAGAUCUGAACGAGAAGGCAAGACUGUAUACAACACCCGUUCUUCACUUCACUCUCUUUCCAGACACCCAAAAGAACUUUCUAGUCAGAGGUAUAAGAACUUUGGAGAUUGGGUUCAUUUUAAAAGUCCUUCUUUGCUCCCAUGGCAAAUUAUGGAUCACUUCAGCAAAGUGGAAAAAAAAUACUCUAGAACACUCAGGUAGGCUUUGCUAGGCUCCUGUGAUUUUCAAACAUGUCUGAACAUUCUCUGAAGAAUGUGCAGAGCCCCAACCCAUGGACACCUCUGUUUGCCCUCCUAUCUCAUUUUAGCCAGAGGCCCAGCUAAGGUGGGUGAGGAUAAAUGCAACACUGAUUCUUGGUUUGACAUGCAAUUUUAUUUCCAAGCCUCCACAAGGAGAUGGCCACAAUGGACUGCCCAUGAUUUAUAAUGGCUGUCAAGGAGCUGAGUGUGUUGCUUCCUCCCCUCACAUGCUGAGGCUAUCUGCCAAACAAAUGAAACAGUGUCAUGAACUCUGUAACUUGUCUAGAAGCAAUCUGUCUUCUCAGGUCAGAGGCUGUGACCAUAGGUAUUCUCUUUGGUCUCUGCCCACCCUGCCUCUACGUUAAGCUCUCGUUAUGGGAAAGGGGUGUAGGCUCUGGGAGACUGACAGGAAAGCUUGCAAGGUAAUUCCAACCCCUUCCAGUUUUCUUUCUCCACCGACUUCACUGCACACUCUGCACCACAGGAUUAGUGUGGGCUGUUCACCUGCUGGAGCAUGCUCUGCCCUGACUUCGCAGAGCCUGAUAAGAACCCUUGCCCUUGGAAGGAAAAUGCCAAGCCAUGGUGUCCAAGAAUUCAGAGUUUCAAUGAGUUAUCCCAGUGACAGACUCUUAAAGGAGGUUUCAGAAUAGGUGAUGAUGUUGCAAUGUAAUCGCAUACUAACACAGAGAUGGGGAGGCUACCUCAGGAAGUAUAUUCUCUUAUUUCUGGUUUACUACAAAGACAGGCAAGGUUCUUUGAACUGGUGUGUUAGUUUGAAUAAGAAUAACCCCCAUAUAUUCAUAUAUUUGAAUAGUUAACUUGGUACCCAGUUGGUGGAACUGUUUGGGAAGAAUCAGGAGGUGUGGCCUUGGAGGAAGAGGACAUGUAUCUCAGGGGGAACAUAGUGGGGCUUUGAGCUUUCAAAAGCCCACAAUAUUCUUGAUUAGCCCUUUUUUUUGCCUCCUUGCAGAUAAGGAUAUAAGCUCUCACUACCACCCCAGUUUCUGUCUGCCACCAUGCUCCCCACCAUAAUGAGCAUAUAUUUGCUCCCCGAAGUAGCAUGCAAGCCUCCAAUAAACUCUUUCUUCAUAAUGUAUCUUCACAGCAAUACAGAAGUAACUAAGACAGGUGGCCAGAGGAAGCCCUCAGGCAAAGGACUGCUGCUGUCCUGAGGUAUGGUUGAAAGAAAUCCAUAGGACUGUGGAAGUUCUUGAGGCUGAUAUCUGCUCAUUGACUAGAGAUGUGACAGCCAUAUGUCUGACUUUCUGUAACACACACCUCUGUUCUCAUCUAGAAAACAGCACCCGCAUACCUCCGCCAUGUGAAGGUGGAUAGAUGACUGUGAACCCACUGUGGGAAAAGCAUGGUAAGAUUGCCACGUGGCCUCAAGAGGAGGUUCACUCAAUAGUCAGGAUUCUACUGAAAACAUGAGAGGGUACUCGGCAUAAUUUUCAAAGGGCUAAGAACUUGCCUACUGCUCAGCCUGCUUUUUGAAGACCUCAAGUGAAUCCAACCUGGCACCCAUCAGGGUUCCAGCUUGGAGAAACCAUGUCACUAUAGCAGGGCUAUGUUUACUCUGUGUGACCAGAAAGAAAAGGCCCUUGAGCAGCUUGGGGACAACAGUCCAUCCUAACCUCUCUCAGUCCACUCCAGAGUGGUAUUUUGAGAUUUGAACUCUUUUCUUGGGGCCAGAUAAGCAGAUAAACUGGGAGGUUUUGUUGGUUUUGAAGCAUGACUGAGAGUCUUUACUUUGCUCUCUGAGUACAGGAUGAAGUGUCACUUUACACUUCCUUAGGCUGAGGUCGUGCGUGCGCAUGCGUAUGCAUGUGCGAGUGUGUGUGUGAAGUAGCUCAAUGUGAAGCUAUGUAGCCCAGGAUCCCACAGACAGUGCCCGUUCCGUACUAGGUCCUUAAGCAAAGACAUUUCAGCAUCAAAGUGUCCGUGCUUCCUUAGAAAACAAUGGUGUGGAAAUCUGAUUCCAAUAGGCAGUCAAUAACUACACGGAUGAAUAAUUAUUUAAGCUGAGGCCCAAACCCACCCAGGAGAUUCUAAACGAAGUAGUGACUAAGCCCAAGAGGGAUUUUGGAUGGCUAGAUAGACAACUCUUUUUCCACACACACCACUCACGCACCUUGCCUAGCUUCAUACCAGCUUUAAGAUGACUUUAGCAGAAACUUACACACUCAGGAGUCUACCCUCUCAAAAAAAAAAAAAUGACAGUUAGUCAAAGAUAAAGGUCUUCCUCCACCUUAUGUUUUCCCAUCACAUCUGUCUAGACAAUAACUUUCUAACCUAGGACACGGGGCCUGGGGCUAUAUAGGAUAACCUGAAUGCUUCCAAGUACUGUGCAAAAUUUAAGUCCAAAUUAAUAGUCAUUAUAAUCAGUUUAUUUGUGAGACCCCAGAAGUCAGAAACUACCAUCCUAGUCUAAAACAAUACCUAGGACAGACACCAAGAGGACAAAAAUCUGUUACAGGGCACAUGGGUUGUUUUAGUAAAUAUGGCAAAAACAAAACAAAACAACAACAACAAAAAAAAAACCCCACAAAAAAUCAGAUUCUCUCUUAAGUGAUAUAUACCUUGGUAUCCUUGGGCACAGAUUGGAUGUAGCUUUUCACCUACAAAAUCUGUUGUUGAGAGCCACCAUCUUUAGAUCAAAGUUCAUUUUACCCAAGAAGUAUCUCUGGGCCCUUAACCUUGAUCCUCAUUGUUCUUUGCUGUCUUGUGUUCUUCCAAUGAAGAGGUUGGGGCUUGAGACUUGGAAUGGCUUUUAAAAGUUCCUCCAUGCUGGGGCCUGUCCACAUUCUUCUCUAAGAAUUGGGGACCUCUUUCCUUUGUCCCAGUUCUUCCUUUGAAUCUUCCAUCCCCACCCCCUUUAUUAUUCUAGUCACCUCUGAUUUUUCUGAGCUUUUGAUAGCAUAAGCCACUGUGGCACUUAACUUCUCACAGACUAGCAAUGGCCACCCAGCUUCCUGGCCAGAUGGAAGAUGAGCUCAGCCUCAGUAUUGCCCUGCCAUUGCAGAAGAGGUGGCAAUGGGGCUGAUGUUGGCCCACAGAACCAGGGACAUUCCAGUAAAGGUCUAGUUUCCUUUGGGUCUGCCAAGGGAGAAACUGGGUUGUAUAAGUCAGAGUCUCCUGAAGAGCAGUAACAAACCAAAACCAGCCUGAAAGCAUCCUUGUAAAAGGAUGAAAUGAGGUGAGGGCAGAGAGCCAGCUUGCAUGCUCCUGAACCCCAUGAUCUGGAGGUGCCAGAGUAACAGCCUUUUAAUUAAAAGGCCCCCAAAGAUCACAAAGUUUAAGGUGUAUACUUGUAUGUGCCUUUACUGGUACUACCACCAGCUCCACGCCCCUUACCACCCAGCUUAAGCAUAUACCCUUUCUGUGCAGCUCAUUUUCCUUGCGGUCUCAUCCAGCCCCAGGCUGCCACAGGAAAUGGUGAAUCAGAAGAACUUUCCAUAUACAGGCACAAAUAUUUGCCCUCUGAUGCCAUCUGAUGAAAUCUCAACUUCUGCCCGCUGGAGCAAUAGGAUUUACUGCUUGCUCUGUCCUUGGCCUGGCACCCAACAGGUGGAGGGAAAGCUUUGCCAUCUACAUUUUCAAGUUUCUCUCUGGAGUCACCUUCCCACCCCCCUCCCUGCUUUAACUUUCUCCCUCUGCCACUGAGGUGUCCUGGAGUGCUCAUGGAAAAAGCUUUCUCCCAAGAAUCUUGGUAGAGAUGUUGGAUGAAUCUCCAAGGCAGUGUUGAUUUGUUCCUGUUCUAUCAUGUUUGAUCAUUUUGGUUUAAAAAAAAAAACAAGAAGAGAGAGAGAGAGAAAGAGAGAGAGAGAGAGAGAGAGAGAGAGGAUAUGAAUGAAUGAAUGAAUGAAUGAAUGAAUAUGAACCUAUGGCAUACAGAGCUAAGGAGAACGAACCAUUCCCACAAACCACCUCCAUCACCUGUUUUCAGUUUUUAACUCCUUUCCUUAAAAUCAUCCCUUACCCUCAGAUGGAUGGCACAGCUGAUUAAGACAUGGCCCCAAGAGCCAAUGUGGGUGGCACAGAGACAUCUCUGCCCUCUCUGUGCCUCAGGAUGGUUCACUUAUUCACAACACUUCCUUCCUGCCUCCCCAGAGCCUCAUUCCCAUGUCUCUUCCACUCAGUUUGAAGCACAUAAGAAAUAGACAUGAUGGGGCUCAAGAACUUGACCAAUGUAGCUUGGAUCUUCCUACCUAGCAUAAACAGAGAAAGACAGGAGGGAGGAAGGGAGGGAGGGAGGAGACUGGGACCAAGUAUUCCAAACAUAACCAUGUAGAAAACAUUUCCGAUUCAACUUAAGAUAGCCUCUGUAUUAGCAUCUAUAAAUAAGGAUCAGCAUCCCUCCGGCCUCAAGCGUGGGCUCAGGGGUAGAAACAAUAUCAUGAUCUCCCAAGAUGCCAAGAGCCUGGUGCUGGCUCGGUGUGAGAUGCUUGCUUCAAUGCUUGAGCACUCUGAGUAAUGGUCCAGCUCUAUAGUGCCAGAGUGAAAUCUUUACUCUGCUCCCCUGACCUGAACUCUACUCCUUGCUUCAAAGACCUAAGCUAUUUGCACAUCUUUCCACUCCUGCUGGGCCAGGCUAUGCUAGCUGGAGAGUUUGACUCCAACUAAUUUACAGGCCAAGGAAUUACAAUAUCCUGGCUCAGGAGUGUGAUUUGGAAAACCACAAAUAAUUUCUCCAAAUUUUUACAAAGCAGGAAGCUGACAGAUACGCCUUACAGGGGAACCCCCACCAGUGGCUUGGCCAGCUCCAGCUCACGGAGCUGUGGAGUUUGCAGACCUUCUCAUUGCUGCUCCACCACUGCAAAGACAUUUCUUAAGAUCCUUCCACAGAGACUCUGGGUUCCUAGAAAGUCAUCUUUAGGAUCAACCUUUGUUUCUCUCAGUAAACACAAUGCCUUUCCCAUCUGCUAGAUCUUAAAUAAGACACAAUAUAUAAUAAUGAUGAACAUGGUCAUCAAUCAAUUGACAAAUAUUUAUGAUGAUCCAUGUGGCACUAAAGACUAUGAAGGAAACAACAGGUAACAAAAAGGAAAUUAUUUUUAAAAAGUAAUAUGUAUUGAUGAGAGACUUCACUGAAAUUUUGAAGCAGCCUCUAUGGGAGAUUCACAUACCCACCGCAAUGACUUACAUAUUGAACUAUUGUAGAAUUUUUCGAAUGCCUAUUUUUUGAGUGCUUAUUUUUGUUCUGACUUAAUUUUUCAUUGAGGCAUAAUUUGCCUACAGGAAAACAUGUAUCAUUCCAGUGUAAGUUUAAUAAAAUUUAUCAAAUAUGAAUUUCUUGGUGAACUACAACCCACAAAGCUAAAGAAGAGUUCUGCACCCGGCUGUGUUCUUUUUGUGUCACUUCAAGUCAGCCAGCCCGAUACCAUGCCCUUGAAUGUCCAAACAUUUUAGUAUAUUUCCUACGUAUGAGGCCAUUCCCUUCCACAACUAACACAGACUUGUCAAAACAUGGAAAGGAACAGGGAUAACAUUACUAUUUAUCUAACCCUCAGAUCUUCCUCAUUUUGCUCAUUAUAAUACUAAUAAUUUUUAUAGGAAAAUAAUAAUUGAUGGAUUAGGAUUCUUCCAGCCACAUGUUGGACUUAAGUGUCCCCCUAUCUCCUUAGCUGCCCCACUGCCUCCUAUUUGGGGCAGUUCCUUGGUCUUGUGCCUUUCACAUUCUCCUUCCUCAGUUUGGAAGGCUACAAGCUGGAACUUCACUAGAGUGUCUCAAUCUGGGCUUGCCUGAUGAUAGCUUGCAAUUAGUUUCAAGCUACACAUGUUAGACAGAAGAAGCCAGAAGUGAUGCCAUGGCUGUUCCAGGCACAUCUCUCACCCUUCAUCAGGCAGCACAUUCCUGGGUCUGCCUUCACUGACUAUGUCAACAACAAACACUCACAAGGAGUGAGAGUCAGCCAAGCUGUGAAGCAGCCGUGGUCCCCUUUGUAAUCACUGACUAUUCUGUGGGAUCUACUUUGAGAAUAUGCUAAUGUCCUGUUUACCCAUUUGUUAGCACUAGGUUGAGGAUUCAUUUACACGGUUUGUUUGAAAUAAUUACAAUUCUGUAUUGCUUUAUGACAGGAAUAUGUUCUUUUAAAUGUACCCUUAAAAACUGAGGUGUAGAUCAGUGGUAGGGUACUUGCUUAGUAUUCAUGAGACCCAGAGUUCCAUUUUUGGCACAAAAAAGGAAGGAGAAAAAAUGAAGGAAGGAAUGAGGAAGGGAGGAAAGAAGGAAGAAAAGACAGAGAGAGGGAGGGAGGACAGGCAGGUAGGCAGGCUUAAUUAACUUAUUCCAUAAGCAUCAAAGGCACUUAGAGAUACAGAUGAUAGAUAACUGACACUUGGAAUAUAUGGUAUAUAGCUACAUGCAUACAUAAAUAAGACAUAUACAUAUAUAAUAGCUUUUGGAGCAAAAGGCUCACACACACACACACAGAGACAUAUGGACACACUCACAGAUACACUACCCUAGGGUCAUGAUAAACAAAGGCACACAGGGUUAAAUCAAGCACAACAGAAAAUCAUGCAGCCAAAAGACAAAGUAAACAUAAGAUAUAUGUGGCUUCUGCCAGAGUACCAUGGCAUGCUGUUUUACGGUGACUUCUUUCUAUAAAUAGAAGGACCAUGAUUUAAGAAAUAUGUUUGAAGUAGUAAAUAAAACCUUUAAGCACUAUUUACUAGUACCAAGUGUUUUCUUCUGUACAUAACAGCAUGCCAUGCUUUCAGACACCUGGCAGCUCGGGGAUCCACAUCUUCUUUACUGCCAGCAUGUAAGUGUGCUACACUAACAUGUUCUGAUGACUAUAAAUACCAUUAGCAGGAUCUUUCAUGCCCAUUCUAAUUCUAUGGAACCACUAUGACUGUGUAGCACAUCAGAGACUGAGAUGUCACGUGGAAGAUAUCCCUUGGACCUUUUUAUGCUCCCUAAGGUCCAUGUAUGGAAGUCUUGGUUCCUUGGGUGGUGCCAUUGAGAGGUACAUCAUUGAAGACACUAAGGUAUGAGGGUUAGUAGGAGGUCUAGAGGACAUCAGGAGUGUACCUCAAGGGAGACCUGGGGGUGGCAGUCUUUUCCUCUUUUACUUCUACCAGACCACAUCAUUGCUAUCCCACAUGUCUACCAAUGAUCCCUGGCAAUGGACAAACCUGAUAAGGGACUGAAAUGGAACACUAAUGAGAACAAAGCCAAUCUUUCUCUCUGUAAGUUAGUCAUCUCAAGGGUGUGUUUUUAGGGUGGUAGAAAGCUGACAAACACAUGUUGUAUCAACAUAAUGCCUGCUAAAUGGUCAUGAUUCAACUCCCAUCAUUUUCUCUACUCACACUGUCCAUUUCCCCCUUCCUCUUUCCCCCUCUCUCUCCCCCAUUCCUUCCGAUGCAGACCCAUAGAUUCUGGUUUUAUUCUCUGAAUUAUAAACUGCUAAUAUCUUUAUCUUUUUUUAUAUUAAAAUUAUCUCAGAUUUGGUCAAAGUCAGCCCUUUUAAAUAACUCCUAUGCCCUUUUGACACAGUGAAACUAUAAAAUUCUCCAGGAUCCUAAGGGAACACAGGUCUUACUUCUGUUUUGGAAUCGAUUUGAGUGUUCUUCAUCACUUGUCUUUAAUUAAGAUAUUAUUUGCUAUAGUUAUUUAUGUUGGAGAAAACGGUUGCCAUGGCAAUUUAUUAGACAAAAAGAGGUGAAGCCAAUAGGGACUUGGGAGUAAGGAGGAAAUGGGGAUAGCCUCUAUGAGGACCCAGGAAGGAGACUCAACACCAAAACCUCAGCUGGGCUCAUCAGAUACUAUGGGAAGGGCCAUCAACAAUGUAAAUAGAAGGCAUACAACCAACUCCAAGGCCCUUGAACCAGACAGAGAAAGCUUCAAGGGACUGAGACACCUCCAAGGGCACAAGCCAAGAGUUAUGAUGGCAAGCCCAAGAACAAAGGAAGACAGAUGAUACCAAUACAAGAACAUAGAAGUAGAGUGCCAGAUUCCCAGGGAAGUCUUCUGACCCUGGCUUGCUCUUUUUGACCUUGUUUAUCCCAUCUUAUACUCUGGAUAUACCUUACUCUUCAGUAUCACCAACUGCUGGACUGUCCUGUAUAGGUAUAGCACCCAUGCUUGUUCUCAGGAUCAAAGCUACCCCGAUUCCUCUAACAUGUUUUGUUGACUUACUGCAUCAAGGCAUUAGGGACUCUGUACAAACACACACAUACAUGCCUAUCCAUAUUCUGCACGCCAAAAUUAACAUUUUGAAGAUGACUUUUUCUGCCAUUUAUCCCUACAUUGCACAUUCAUAAAUACUUACACAAAUAAGCAAAAGUAAGUGGACUCAGCAGGUUGCAGGUUAUCAGUUGUGUUCAACGUGUGUGUGUGUACAUGUGUGUAUCUGUAAGGGAGGGUAUAACAAUAAUAACUAAAGUCACAAAGUUGAGGUGGUGUUGGAGGGAUGAGAACACUUGGCAAACAAGAGAGAGUAGUGUAGAUUACAAGAUUUUUUUCAUUCUUUUUUCUUUUUUAAUAUUUUUAUUAGGUAUUUCCCUCAUUUACAUUUCCAAUGCUAUCCCAAAAUUCCCCCAUACCCUUCCCCCCCCACUCCCCUACCCACCCACUCCCACUUUUUGGCCCUGGCGUUCCCCUGUACUGAGGCAUAUAAAGUUUGUAUGACCAAUGGGCCUCUCUUUCUACUGAUUACAUAAUUAUUGUUCCCAUGUUGUAUUCUCAAAAAUAUAAAUGCUAAAAAGACUGUAAAUGUUAGCUUUUCAGUUCCAUGUUUAUGCAUCUUAUGGUUUAAAAUCAUGCAUCUCUGCAAGCAGGGGCUGGUAGUUCACGUGUGUAACCUCAGCUACUCAGGAGGCUGGGGCAGUAUUAACAGUCUAAACACAAGUUUAACGCCUGUGUACCUCAGAACCAGUUCAAGGCCAGCUAGGUGGCAUAGAAAGUCUGCUUCAAGAUGAAAAGUUGAGAAAGGGUAGGUAUUUCUGUGGAUAAGCUCAGUAGUGCAGCACUUGUUUAGCCCAUGUGGGGCCUUUGGUUCAAUCCUUCAUAUCACAACAAACAGACAGGCAAACAUAAAGAUGUUUCACUGAAUCUCACCAAUAAAAUGCAGAGCCUGUCAUCCAGCAGACAUCAACAGUGGCAAUUAGCCAAUCAUUGCCAAGAAUCAUUCCCAAAUAGAACUGCUUUCUCAGAUAAACAUGGCCCCCACACUAACUGCAAAUGCUACCAGACAUUUUCUAGGCUUUGUCUGGGAUGUUUCAAAAACAAAAAAAAUCUCUGUCACUUAUCUCCUGACUCUGGUCAGCAAGGGCAACAUCAGUUAGUUCUCUUCCCUUUUUUUGGUCCCUUCUCAAAGGAGGUGUGGCUCAGCAGGGUGAGAAAACUGGAAGUCAGUGCAUAAAGCUAAUUGAAAACCUGGGCAAUGGAUCAGACACUGACCCUUUCCACCCUUUCCUAGCCAAGGAAAGGCUCUGCUCCAACCGUGGCAAAAACCUGAAGCCUCCAUUUCUUCCAUUUGUCAUGGGAAUAGUUGCCUUUUCUCUGCUAGGCCUCCAGAUUUUGAUUUUGGAAUGAACUUUUCUUUAAGAACCCAAUUUGCUCCCAUGAUGUCUGUCUAGCUGAGUCAUCAGGUAGCAAGAGCAAAGGCCUUUGUUGAUGCAAUCCUAUUUCCGGUCUUCCAGCUACCCAACACGGUAGACACAGGACUGUUUACAAGUAAACACUAACUGAAUACAUUUCAAGACAUAGUCUUUAGCCAUGCUGUCUAUGUGCCAAAUGUACAAUAAACACAGUGGCAAAUGGCAAUGAAACUAAACAGGAAAGAGAAUGUGUGUGAUGUUGUAAGAAGCUGUGUCAGAUGUUGGAGCUGACCAGUGAGUUCAUAUGCCAAAGUAGAGGAAGUCUGGGUUUGAGCUACCCAGUGACUUCUCAGAAUGUAGUCUCCACAUGGCCAUGGGUGGUAGUAGGUCCAGGGCAUGUACAUCUGAGAUUGACAGGUUAGGACAGGAGGCUUUGAUCCUUUGCUUUCUUCUACUGAACACCUACCUUCCAAAGAUGUCCCACUCAUCAUUUCUUAGAAAGGCAAAACUUGCUUCUACAUGGCACUGUAUCACUAACCCAUGAGUUGCCCAUAAUUACCGAGCAAGCCCACUUAAAACUACCAAAACCCUCUGGGGACAAUAUACCUGUUCAUAUUUCUCAAGGUUUCCUGAACAGAGAAACGUAGGAUUAGGGAGGCUUCUUCGGGGAAUGACCCAUUUGAUGAUUAUAAAUUUGCUUUUAGAGACAGGAAUAAAAAAUAUUUAGAUAAGCUUUAGUUGUUAAGAAUUAAUGGAAAACCUGAUAGAGAAUGGGGUCUAGAACCCACAAAUAUAUGUUAAAAAAAUUAAUGAAGAAACCACAAGAGAAUAAAAUUCUCCUGGGGCCUCCUCUCUGAAUGAAAGUAGUUCUCUCUGGAGAAAAUCACUAACUUAUUUGUGCCAUGUACAGGAAGGACAUAAAAUUAUCACAGUCAUGUUCACUUCCAGACAAAGUGACUUUCAAAGCUGUGAGGCAAGGAUGAACAUGGCAUUCAUCGCUGGUACAGGGGACUGUUUGUCUUCAGAGAAGUUAAUCUUUCUAAUUUUUUGCCAUUGAAAAAAGUCAGGAUCUUCAGCAACAGGACAGGAGAAUCAACAUCACCAUACUCACCCAGACCAUCACCACCAAAGAAAAAAACGGCUUUGUCAAAUAGUAUUAUAACAGCUUGAAAAAGUUAGAAGGGGUCUUGGGGUGAGCUAAUUGCGAGGGGUAGGCAGGUAGGAAGAUAGAUUUCCUGUUCCAGUGAAGCCCCUGCCAAACCUAGAAGAGGUUAGCAAGGAGAGAGUUAUUUUUAAGACUUGCAAAGUUUGAAUUGGCUUAAAUAUAGUCCUAGCCUGGAGGCAAGGAGAAAAAACAGAUAAUAAACAAUACCUGGACCCACGUGUCAGAGGAAAAUCAGGAAGAAAAACAAAAAUGGUCUUCAGUUUUUACUAAUCAGUGUCCUAAACCAGAAAAUGCAUGCACGUUGCCACUGAGCCGUAGGGUGGACAGAAGUAAUAGUGCCAUCUCCUGCCACCAGCAAUUGUAAAAAUAGCCUUGGAAGCAAACCUGGACCCUGGUGGUUGCUUACUCUUAUGUAAAGUGUCAACAAAGGUACUAGAGCCUUGAUCCAUAUCAUCAAAUUUGUUAACUAAGCUCUUAUAAUAUAGCACAUUCAAAAAUGGCUCUAAAUUACCAUUCCAGCAGAUCUUUGCCUCAGAUAUCCACAUAGAUCUUCCCUUAUGGAAACCUAAUAGCAGCUAGCACCAAGUGAAAAAUGGGCGAGACUAAAGAAAUACCCAACAUUAGGAACACUUUUUACCUGGCCAUUGGUUCAUAUUCUGCAAAAAGCUAUUGUAGCUUUGCUACAGCUGAGGAUUUGAACUAGGAGUGCCAAUCAGGCUCCCAUGAAGGGCUAAUGAAGGCUCAAACUCCCAUGCUCCCCCUAGAAUUCCCAGUUUGGUAGGUCUUAGAUGGGGGCCUAAGAAUCUACAUUUCCUACAUAAUUUCAUAGGAAGCUGAUGAUGGAGUCAUUGGACCAUUCUUUGACAUAAACUAUUUUUUGAAUGACUCCCAGUGUUCCUAGAAGUUGGUUUAAAAGGAAGUCGAUCUGAAGUGGUCGGUGUGAUCAAAUCUGUCCUUGGAGCCAAGUGCCCAGGAUGCAUUUAUCAUCACCCAGCCCAGCGGCAUGGCUCUAUGAAGAAGCCAUGUUAAUAGUGCCAUUCUAAAUACAGUGUGCAGUGUGGCCAUACCUCCAUCCCCUGCCCCCACCCCCUGGCCCCAGAUCUCCUCUCUGUGGUCUUUAGGGAAGUUGUACAUUGCAGCCCUGGGUUAACUUACAAUUUGGGCUGUGCUUUCUUCUGCCUUCUUUUUAUAUCUCUACUGUUGCACACCCUUGUAGCUGCUGAUUGUCAGGUUUUUGGCCCUGUAGACAAUAGCACAGCCCAAAGAAAACCAGGGUCUGGGUAAGCUUCCCAGGCCAACCCUGGAGAUGCUGAGGCAACACAUGGUUUAAAAGUAAACUGCUCUGGAGGAAGCCUGGAGCCAUGUAUGGACACCAGGGGUGGUAUACCAUGCCAGAGAUCUGUUCUCCAUUAACUUUUGGACAAAAGUUGUUCAGGAGCCCAUAACCCUAUAGGUUAUAGGAAGCAAUCCCUUGUUGCACCUUAUAGUUCUCCCUAAGAUUUGGCUGGGCUCUCGUUAAAAAACAGAAACCAUUUGCCUUCAAGCCUACCCGCCUAAUCUGGAAUCUAUCUCUCCCUAGGAUACUAAGCCUCAUUACUCCAGAGAAAAUGGCAUCUUCAAAACUGGACCCAAUGGGCCCUCUCAAGUUACAAACUGACCCUUGAGUUGUUUUCAUUCACCAGGAACUAUUUUUCCUGGCAUAUGUGUAACACACAAAGAAGAAAAAAAGAAACCUUUGCUUUUUUUAUUUUUUAAAAAGCAUCCAAUACAAAACAAGUGAUUGUUAAGGCUCCAAGCUGUCUGUUGUAAUUCUCUAACAUGUUCUAAAAACAAUAAGCCACAUGAGGGUGUGUGUUCUUUGGCCUCAGCUUCUCUCCUGGGGUUGGCCCCCGUGUACUUUGUUCCUUCCAUGGGUUCUGACAUGCCACAAAGCACCCUGAAUGGGCAUCCCCAGCCAGACACAUGCUGGCUGGGUUCCCUGAGUCUCCCUUUUGGAAUCAAGAGAACACUCAAAACUCAAAUAGGUAGUAAGAUUCUCUAGUGGACAGGUGUCUCAUCCUUUUACAUUGUAAAUAAGAAUUGUUAUCAGUUCUUGAUGCUGAUCCUAAGAAGGCAAGCAAGCUUUCACUAGAACUUAGGUAUAUGAUCAGACAUUAAGGUAUAGAUCUCUAGUGCCAGCACUCUGGACAUAGAGACAGGAGGAAAAUAAAUUCAGUGGCAGCCUGAACUCCACAGAGUCCUUUUCUACAAAGAAAAAGAAAUAAAUAAAACCCUAAAAAUCAAGGAAAAGGCAGUAUGUUUGAAAGGACACAUGGGCAUUUGAAAGGCGAUUGCUGCCCUGUCGGGCUACUCCUGAAACUGGAUCUUCACCUUCUCAUCAGUUCUUGGCUCUAGUUAGGAAGGGAAGCAAUACUAUUCAAGGGUCAGAAAGAUGAACCACAGAAUGUGAAAAUGGCUGUCUGCCUAGAGACCUCAGUGCCAGCAAGACUUCUGUGGGUGCUAAUCUAUGACCUCAGAUUGAUGGCAGUGGCAGCUCAAGUCUGAGUUUCUUGGGGUGACGUGUGCUAAGCCCCAUGGGUUAAUUGCUUUCACAACAAUCACAGAAAGCUUGUUGAAGAAUUUCCAGUUUUGUUUUUUGAGGACAGGGUCUCACUACGUAGCCUAGGCUGAACUUGAAUUCUUGAUCUUCCUGCCUCUGUCUCCCCAGUGUUGUCAGCAAAGGCAUAUCUAGCCGGAGCAUCAUCCUUUCCAUUUGUCACCAGAAAGCAUUGAGCCCAAACCAAUUAAAGGUCUUUAUGGUCCCUCACCUAGCAAGCAGCAAGGUAGAACUCAAAUUAAGAUGACUUUACCUCAUCAGUCCUUUCUGGAACCCCUGAAAUGAUACGUAUUAUAAAAAUGCCCCGGAGAUGAUGAAGCCAAGUGAAGAUUCGAGAGGGGUGACUAUCCAAAAACCAGAAAUGCUAAUUAACAUGACAUUUCUACAAGGCCUCAGUUAAAUGGGAUUUUCCAGGUAUAUAAAGCUUACCUUUAAUUAAGAAUCAACUCCUUUUUUAGUCCAGAGAUUUUUAAUGGAAAAUUUCCAAAAGUAAUUAUGUUUUUUUUUCCCUUGUCUUAAAUACACAUGAACUAGAAUUUAAGAUUUAUAAAAAUAGCCCCUGAUAUUAAUGAGUAUCAAGUGAAGGAAGGUACUGUAGGUGAAAGUAUUAGUCUGUAAUAUGGUCAGAGUGACUCCUAAUGGCUACACUUGUUAGCUUUCUCAACCUAUUAUUUUUUCUGGAAUAUUUUAUUAGAGUAUUUUGACAUUUUUCAAAGUUCUACCACCUCUUAGAUUUCAUGAUGACAUUGUAAAAUACUUGUUUUAUAAUAUAUUCAUUCAUGUACAUAUUAAUAAACCUAUUAUUUUAAAACACAUUGAAAAUAUAUUACAGGGGCUAUUGAGAUGGCUCAGCAGGUAAGGGGAACUGUUUUGAAACCUUGCCAACCAGAGUUCCAUCCCUGGUAUUUAUCUAAAAGUGGAACUCCACAAGGAUGUCCUUUGAUCUCCACACAUGGGUAUUUUAAGAUGUGCCCUCUGCCCCCAACAACACUACAGAAACUUGAAAAAUACAUUUCAGGCAUCAUCUAUGUACGUAUCCCUGGAUACCUCAGGACACACAUCAUUUGUUGGUGGUAUUUGUUUACAAAAAUAUGAUUAAAGGCACAUGAUGAAAUGCACAGAUCUCAAGUGUGCGUUCGCUUGUUCUGGCAAAUUAAAAACCCUGCCUACCCUAAAGCCUUGUCCACUCACUGACCAUGCACUGGGAGGCUCCCUACCCUUUUCCAGUGGACACACCCAUUCUCCCUGGGAUACUCACUUUCUAGCUUCUCACAUUAUAGUCAGCUAUAACUUGACAUGUAAGCUCAAUGUGUUCUCAAUCUUGUGCCUUUGUGUUAGCUGCAGUUAUUUUAAGGAUCAUGGGGGAAAAUCCAAAGCCAUUUUUGGAAGAGUACAUGAGUAUGAGCAUUCUCUUCAUUUUCAACAAAGGUUUGGAAGCCUCUGAGAGGGCCAGCAUCCUAAUUUCCAUGGAAGUUCAGUGCUGUUAAAUUGUUCCAAAACUGGGCCAGCUCUGCUAUCUGCAAAAGAGCAGACCCCUCCUAUAAAUUAGCAUUUCAAUAUAGUUUUGAGGAACUGGAUGAGUGAGGAAGAUGUCUCACUCAACAAUCACCUGCUGUAAUGAUGUUUUCAUGUUGCUCUGUCGAGACAUUUGGUUCAGAUAUUGUUGCAUCAUGUCCAGAUGGUUUUAACCACUGGGGCAUUGAGACACAUGUUCAAAUGUGAACCUUUCAUAUUGAUACAGUAGCAUGUUGAGAUGUUAAAGCAUCACAAUGACAGAUGCUGAUGUGACAACUGAGCUAACAUGUUGAGUCGUUAACGGGGUGAGAUGUUGGGACACUGUUAAAUUGAAGUUCUGAGACAUCUACAGGCAUCAAAGUGCUCAUAUUCAGGUGUGGAGCUGGUUUUUUGUUUGUUUGUUUGUUUUAAUGUCGACUUGUAGACAUGUUCACAUGUGGAGAGGUUUAGAUCUCACACAAGUGCUGGACAUUGAACCAUUUUAGAUAAGAUGUAAAGUCUCAUUCCUCUAGCUGUCAAAUACUCUUCCACAUCCCUUCCUCUGCAGCAAACACACAUUAUAUCUUUGGAUAUUUAUCUGUGCAUAUAGGCAUCUAGAUCUUCCUGUUUGAGGACAUUCUCUGGUCCAGGAUGGGCUUAGCAUCUACAUGGGAAUGAUGGUGUAUAUAUCUAUUACCUUAAGUAUUAAUGGCCUUAAUAUGGCAGGUUUGGCCACCAUCCUUAAUAAGACAAUGAAAUGAACAAAUAAUAGUCAAAAGAAGAGAAGACUUAAUAAAAAUGGUCACAAUGAGAAGAGGUACAAGGUGAUUUCAAUGACAUCUGUCCCCUACUGACUUCAUCUUUAGGGUCUUGGCACAAAGUAUAGAUUUAAGUAUAGGGACAGAGUUAUGCAUAGCUAUUCAGUCCAUGAUAAAAGGUGGGCUCACCCAUCAUUGACCCAUCAUUAUCUGGGCUCUAUUCUUUCUGAAAGGUGGUUGGUCUGACAAGUUGUAUAUUUCUUUCCUGGAGACAAGGUCCCUUCCCUCAGAUAUUGACAAGGACAAGAGAACCAUCUUCUUUCCUCAAUAGCUCACCUCUGAGGCUCCACAAUCCUCCAGAGUCUGGAUCUACUAUGAAGGCAACAUUUGCCUGGCCAGGCUCCAAUUUGGAGUAGAACUUGCCCUUAUCCACCCUGUCUCACCCCUCCAUCAGCCGGCACACCAUGUAGGCAUUUGCAAACCCUUUGCUAUUGGUCUGUAUUACUGAUAGAAAAGUUUAUAAAAAUGUACUAAAUGGGGAGUGAGGAGGAGAGGGGAACCUGAUCUGGUAUUAGGUUAGGGAAAAGGACCGAAGCCCUGAGCCCCAGCAAGAAUGUUAAUAGGCAACCUCAGGAAAUAGGAGGUUUGGGGGAACCCCCCCCAAGAAUGCACCAGAGAUUUGGGAGGUGGUAGACUCCCAGGACUCAAAGGGAGGGACCUUAGAUGAAAUGCCAGACAAUAGGGAGAGGGAACUUAUAGAGCCCACCUCCAGCAGGAAGAGAGGACAUCAAGUAAGGGAUGGGGUGCGCAUCACACACACACACACACACUCUCUCUCUCUCUCUCUCUCUCUCUCUCUCUCUCUCUCUCUCUCUCUCUCUCUCUCUCUCUGGCUGAAAGUUUAAAAAUAAAAAUUAGUGAAUGCAGGAGCAGGAUGGAGAACAGCCCUGCUAGUUUAGCUGAGCUAGAGGGCCACAUGUGUCUGAGUUGUGAUGAGUAGCGGUUGAUCACUGAAUAGAAAAGUCUAAGUCAUCACUAAAAGGUACCAGAGGUGACAACUACCAAACUCAACAUCAAACUAAUUAGCACGGCCAUUUGGCAAAAAACAUUGCUUGAAAAUGUAGCCAAGAAUCUUCUGGCGUAAUUCUCUCACUGAAUCUCUAGGCGCUGCCUACCACCAAAGCAUAAGGCAACAAUGAGUGGUUAUCAUUAAUUUAUGACAAACAGCAUUUGGGCAUUUUAUGGCACAUUACAGUAUGACUGUCAUCCCCAAAUACUGUACAUGCAUAUCAGCAAUUUAAAAUGUCCUUGGGUCCCCCACCAAAUCUCCCUACUAAGUACUAUAAGAAUCCCAGAAUCCUUCUACUGGCUGCCUCUUUAUUUAUUGUGUUGAUAACCAGAUUUCAAUAAAAAUGCCUUUUGGUGCCCUGUAUAUUUUAGCCUGGGUACUUAAAAUGAACUUUUUCUUUUUCCUCUUUCCUCCUCCUUCUCCUUGUCUUCCUCCUCCUCCUCCUCCUCCUUAUCCUCGUCCUCAUCCUCCUCCCCCUCCCCCUCCCCCUCUCCCUCUCUGCCUCCCCACUUCCAUCUCCCUCUCUCUCUACUCCACUCUCUUUCUUUCUAUCAACCUCCCUGCUCAGGUAUUCCAGGUCCCUGGAAAUAGAGGGCUAGAAUUACUAAAGGACCAGGCCAGCACUACUGAAGGUCUCUGGAGGGCCCCAGAGCACUGGGUCAGAGAAAGCAGAGGUGAGACUCAAUUUGGACUCCAGAAAGUGGUACUUGUUUGUCUUAGCAGAGCUCAUAAAUUAAGACAAGCUAUUUUUGGACAUGUCAUCUUUGCGAACCCAUUUUCUCCCUGUCUUGUUUCAUUGGCUUUUAAUCAGGAAUUAUCUUGUGAAGUGGUCUGAACUGUCAUAAAUUCAACACAAGAACUGAACUAGUGGGUGGAGUCUCCAAACAGAACAGAAACUGAAGCCCAUGACAGCUGCACUCCCUAUUCUGUGAUGAGAACCACAUGUAGUGAUCUCUGGCCACAUAGGAUGUCCUGACUCUGCCUGGCCUGGGGACAUGUGGUGGAGCAAAGAGGCUGUGAUGAUUAGGUUUUUGUUUUUUUGUUUUUUUUUGUUGUUGUUUUUUUUUUUUUUUUAAAUCAACUUUUCACACAUUUAGACAUCUGGAAUGGGAAUCUCAAUUGAGGGACUGCCUCCAUCAGACUGCUCUGUGGAUACAACUAUGAGACUUUUUUGAUUGAUUCAUGAUUGAUAUGGGAGGGUCUAACCCUCUGUGGGUGGUACCAACAUGAGAAGGUGAUCCUGGGUUCUGUAAGAAAGCAAACUGAGCAAGCUGUGAGGAGCAAGGCAGUAAGCAGUGUUCCUCCAUGGCCUCUGCUGCAGUUCCUGCCUCCAAGUUCCUGCCUUGAACUCCCUUGACUUCCCUUCAUGAAUGAGUGGAAGCUGACAUCUGAAAUAAACCCUUUCUUUCCCACGUUAUUUUGGAACAUGUAGUUUAUCACAGCAGCAGAAAGCCAAACUAGGACAAAGGUCUUGGGAAUGUGGCCAGGGUCAUACUAGACCAAGACAGAAAAAAGAUAAUUGCUUGCGGUAGAAGGGAGCCUCAUUUGCAACAUUUACACAACUGCCCCCAGGAAGAGAAGGUAAAGGACACCUUGCUGUCCUACUUAGAAGGAGAUGGGAGAGUUCUGUACCCAUAGAACAAGGCACCAACCUCUGAUCAAGAAGUUAGGCUGACAAGCACCUGCACGCAUCUUUUCAUGCAACCUAUCUCUCAUUGACUUUUGCCUGUAAAACUGAAGCCUUUCUUACAGCCCCACCAUUAAAAGCUGACUCCUGACACAGGAAGCAAUAGGAAUUUGGACAAAGUAACUUGAUUUAUUUAUAUUACACAAUCAUCCUGAUUCAGCUUUCAUGAUGUGGGAACAAACUGCACGAAACAUGUCAAUCAAGAAGUCAGAUAACCUGGAUUUAAAUAUAUAUUUAUGUAAAAAAAUAUAUAUUUAUGACAUGAAAGCAGAGAGUGACUGUCUGGUGUGGGGGAGAGGAAGGGAACCAUGAAGGAAAAGGGGUAAUGGGGUGAACACAAGCGAAGUGAAAUGAUGUCCAUGCAUGGACACACCCUAAUGAAGCACACCACUCUUAUGUGCUAACGUAGAAAAGAAUUCAAAUGAAUUCUUUUCAGACUAGGUACAGAUACACAGAGACCUGUAUCUCUUGUCACUGACCAGCCUUUUGGGCUAGAAGUGUAGCUUGUGCAUAAAUAUUGUUGAGUAUAUAAAUGGUAAGCAGAAAGCUAUGAAGCCAUUUGUUAGAGAGUCUAUUUGCAUUAUUUUCAUCAUUAUCGUUGAUUUCUUUUGUGAGAAAAGUAACCAAAGCACUAAAUAACCAAAUAGCUAUUUAUAUGUCCAUCCUUUAUGGACUAUAUACUAUGGGCUAGGUAUGCUUCUAGGUAUUAUUUCUAUAAAAUGAACUGCAACCAUUAAAGUUUCCCUCUGACACCCCUGUAUUGGUACCCCUCACACAACUGCUGAUUUGGUUUCUGCUUUUGUAGGUCAGCUUGCUUAAAAAUGGAAUCAUUACAUGGGAUGCAUUCUUCUGUGUCUUAUUUCUUUCAUUCAGCAUGGUGUUCUCUGAAAUCCUUUGUGCCUUGGUUCCUUGCUGCAUAAUACUCCACUGCACAGAUGUAGUCUUAUUUGUGCACUCUUUUACUGGUUUAUGGACCUGUGGGUUUUUCUAGCUUUGGAAUAUAAUAUAAAACUAAUCAUAUUCAUGUGCAUAUCUUUAAUGAUUCAAUUUAAUUUUGUUUGAGAUUAAAGUAUUGCUAUGUUACCCAGGUUAGCUUCAAAUUCCUGGGCUCAAGGCAGCUUCUGUCUCAGCCUCCCAAAUCACUAGAACUCCAGAUACAUCCUCACACUCCUGGCUUAUCUUCAUAUCUUUUUAUGACUAUAUCUUAUCAUCUUUCCUGCAUUAAUUCCUACAGAGGUAACAUAGGCAAAUCACAUGGUAAAUUCAUUUAUCUCAUAAGAAGAAACUCUAAACUGUUUCCUAAAGUGGCUUCUUCACAUUUUACAUUUUCAUUGACAAGACAUCCCAGUUGUUCCAUGUCUUUGACAACAUUUGGUAUUGUCAUCUUUUAAAUUUGAGCCAUUUAUGUAAGUAUAUAAUAGUAUCUCAUGGUAUUUUUUUAUUUUCAUUUUCCAAUGACUACUGAUUAGAUGUUAAGCAUUCUCAAUGAGCUUAUUGAGUGAUGUAUGUUUAUGAAUCUGGUUAAUGAGAUAAAGCCUCCUACACAGAGAAGGCACCCAAUCUUAGCCUUUACUUCCUUUUCAACCUCUUUGUAGCCAAGCAGUAUUUAAGAUGGAAACUGUUUGUGCAUAAGAACCAUGUUUUAAUAUUAUUGGCAUAGUUUCUGACACAUGGAAGGUGUUCAACUGAACUCUGCUGGGAAAAAAAAAGUGGGAUAAAUUCUAGUUAAUUGUAGAAUAUAAUUUAAUGACAUUCUCUGGUCCUAUUGAAGAGUGCUGAGCUGUAGGCUUCUCUAUGCUGAUUGGCUCAAGACUGAUUAUUUUUUUAAUUGCUAUAAUUAAACUGUCUCUUUCUUUAUUUCAGAUCUCCAAUUUUCUCCUGCCUGUAGAUGACCUACCUUCCAAACAGGCAAUUUGAAUUGACUAUGAGCUUGUUCAUAAGCUGACAAGUUUGUUUAGGCUUCUAAAUUCACAAUUGAAUAAAUAAAUGCAAAUGAGUAUGAGUUGGGGCCUUGAGGAUUCUGACAUAAUGUCUUUCUCACCAGGCUAGGAACUCACAGGUUGAAACAGGGGCAAGAACAAGUGAAUCAAUUCAGCAACGUGAGCCAGUGCUGUGAAGAAAUUGGGGUCUGGGUUUAAAUCCUGACCCUUCUGCCUAGUAUUUCUCAGGUUUAGGAAUCUCCUGAUUCUCACCUACGUUCAUGGUCCUCAUUUGGAAACCAUGGAAACAGGUUAGAAAAGAAGCUCAGGGGUAAAAGAGCAGGCCUAACAUAAACAGCUUCUAUUCCUAUCUCCCCAAAUCUCCUCGUAUCUCUUAACAGCUGGUACCACCAUCUCCCAGUUGUUGAGUUAUAAGACUAACGUUCAAACUCUCUGAAGAAUGGUCCUUCAUCAGUAGAUCCUACACAUAGUGGUGCCUUGUCCCCACUUCCAGGGGAUCCACUAACUAAAUAGAUGUAUAGCAGGUGGACACCUUGUCUCAGUAAGUGUGAGUCUAGCUAUAGUUUUAGCUAUAAAAAUUCUACAACAGACCAGGCAAAUCCUGACCUCAUAUCCAUUUCUGGUUCUAGCUCUUUUCAUAACUGUAUCCCAACCUCUUUCACAGGCCUCUCCUGAGUGCUAUUCCACAAACCGCAUGGCAUGAAUCACUGUCACCGAAUUUACAACUAGAAAUCCCAUGUAAGAUACCCCAAAAUAUCCGGGACACAAUUUCUUUUAUGAUUCAUUGAUGAUAAUGAGGGUAAUAUUUUUUUGAAGUCAUGCUUUCUGACUUCAGGAGUUGCAAAGGAUCAAAGCUAAAAUAAAAUUUCAUACUUUCUGUGCCUUUUGAAACCCAUGGAGUCUAUGACUGUUAUUAUGUUCAGUCUACCUUAAAGGAAUCACCUGGGCAAAGUGAAAUAAAUGAGCCAUCAAAUGGGAGGCAUUUCCUGAAACCUUGGUGGCAGGGGGGAGUGUACAGAGAAGAACUCACAGAACCAAAUCUCCAAUCUAUAUGUCUGUGAAGUAGAAAGCAUUGAAAAAUAUUCCAGGGCAGAAGUAUCAGGGGGAUCUGCGGGCAGUAAAUGGUACUAGUUCUUAGACCCACACAGGUGUGGUCUAAGCUUGUGUGAUAACAAGCUUAGUCACUGAGCUUUGGACAGAUAGCAGACACCAAAGAUGUUCUCCAAGAUGACUGAUCUCCAGGGAUAUAAGGGUAAGAGAACAAAGGAAGUUAGGAAGGGAGGGAUAGUCAUGGAGUUUCAUGGAUGAGAUGAUUUACCAUCUUCAAAGCUUGACUAGGAUUCUGUCUAACCAGUAGAGAUGAGAUGAAAGAAAUAUCAAGAGUGCAUGUCCAUUUGGGAGAAAAGUGAUAAGGGAGGAAGGAUGAUACCAUACAUGUUGUCUGAGAAGACUAGAAGAUCUAAAGGAUAAAGACACCAUUGAAUAGAAUUGACAGAAAACCAGUGAGAGAUUCUCAUAGUGUAGAAUUAGGUUUUUGGGAAAGAUGAUUCCAGCAAUGAGGACUAUCCCUUUUCAUCUCUCCCCCAAGAAACUCAGUGGGAAUCAUUCCUGAACUAGGACUGUUGAUGGCCAUCACAAAUACAAGGAAUUCAAGAGAGGAAAAUGCCAGUGACUAACGGGAUAGGUAGCUGGAUUGUGGGGGAACCUCAGUGGCGUUAAUGUGCAUAAAAUUCACAAGACGUAAGCAAGAAUUCUAUCUAUACAUACUCUUAAAUGGUCUCUAGGUUCUGGAGAUAGGUGAAUGGAAAAACAGAUGGAAAAACAUUCUUGUGGUUCUGCCAUUCCUUGCAAUUUUCUCACGCUGAAGUAAAGCAUUAUAAACUGAUUUGAACAUCAUGGAAAUUAAAGAACCCUUCUAUCUGAUUCUAAAUGAUUCUGAGCCAAUCAUUUAGCUUCUUUCUUCCAACACAUGGCACAUGAAAGCAUCAGCAUACCAAGCACUAGCCUCAGUUGAUAUCCUCAAUCUAACCAGUUUAUAUUGGCUCACAACUAGUGUCCAUCAACUAUAGAUGUCUACCAGAAGCUCAAAGAGGAGAUAUGAUUGGUUAUUAAUGCCUGGAAAGCAUAAUAGAUAUAAGCUGGUAGCACAUUACACACACACACACACAUUCAUUCAUUCAUUCAUUCAUUCAUUCAUUCAUAUUCUCUCUCUCUCAACUUUUUGUGAGUUCAAAUGCUAAUAGUUAAUCCAAAUUAUGAGAAUAUGUAUUUCAAAAAUUAAUAUUUUUCAAAACACAGUACUACAACUAUUAGUAGUUAAGAAGAGAAAAAAAUGAAAGGAUAAUGGAAAAAGAAAAUAGGAUACUGUCUUAGCUAGGGUUUACUGAUGUGAACAGAUACCAUGACAAAGGCAACUCUUAAAAGGACAACAUUAAAUUGGGGCUGGCUUGCAGGUUCUGAGGUUCAGUCCAUUAUCAUCAAAGCAGAAACAUGGCAGUGUCCAGUCAGGCAUGGCGCAGGAGGAGCUGAGAGGUCUACAUUUUCAUCUGAAGACUACUAGGAGAAGACUGGCUUCCAGGCAGCUAGGAUCAGGGUCUUAAAGCCCACAUCCACAGUAAUACACCUACUCCAACAAGGCCACACAUUCAAAACAGUGCCACUCCCUGGGCCAAGCAUAUUCAAACCACCACAGAUACCAAGAAAGAAAAGAGAGGAUUUAGAUAGAAUUAAAUUGAACAGGAAUUUUAUAAGGUAACUGGUCUCUUCCACAAAAUUCUAUUUUAACCAAAUGUUCUUUUUUUUUUUAAAUCAGCUACAGACGAAAUGAAAUUUCACAAUAAAACUCUAUUUCCCACUUUUCAUUUAUAGCCCCAAGCUAUGAAUUACUUACAAAUUGCAGAGCUGGUUACUCUCUGGCUUCAGAAAGAGCUACAGCAGCCAAGAACCCCACUGCACUGUCCACUGCUUGGCUCCUGAAUACUUCAAAAAGGGUUCAAUCUCUCAAGGCCUUUUUUCCACCUUCCUGGGCCUGUACUUGGGCAUCACAUUUACCAGGAUUAGUUUUGUGACAGGAAUAGGACAAUCAUAGACAAUUCCAGCUAUGUGAAUAGCAACAUGUGCCACACAAUCACAAACUAUAUUAGCAAAGAACCGGCUAUCAAAGAUCCAAGGGUGAUGAAGUUGAAAGAGCCUGGAUGUCAGAAAUGAAGACUAUUUAACUGUCAUUCAAUCUAUAUUUGGGUUCUCCAAAAACAGAACUUAGAAACUUGAGGCAUUUGAUUAUACUGAGACACAGAGGAUCAUAAUAGCAAGGGUGGGAUGGGAACAAGGGAACCCACAAAGGGUAAUAGACCAAUCUAGUUACUACUGGGGUCAACUGGCUUCAGCUGAGAAUUCUAGGAAACCAGAUGAAGCAUGCACCCUUAUGGCCAAGCCACCCACAGGGUAUCUCCAUACUGCCUCUCAUUGGUUCUUGGUUGAGGACUGGUCCCAUAGCUAUCUAUUCCCCUGGAACUCCUAGUCUGCUUUGUGGAGCAGACAGAGUGGUCCUUCCACAUAAUUCAAAACCUCCCAAACUGUAGGCAGAAAGACUCAGGAUUGGGUAGUGAGAAACUUGGGAAAUUCUCACUUAAUAAGAUUUGAUGGGCAUGAAGCGACCACGGGCAGUGUCUAAUACACACACAGUCCAUCUUCCUUGUAGGAAGACACAUGACCCAUGUGUUUACUCAUUGAAGGCACACAGAUGAGGAACAGAUGAUACAAAGACAGAGGGUGGCAAUGAAGCAGAGGCUCUAGACGUCUCCCUAAAUGGAAUCAAUGCAGGAUUGCUGGCUUGUUGCUAUGGGGGCUUAGAAACAAAUCUCUUGAGGAAGUGACAUUAUAAGUUGCUAUGGAGAAUGGAGAGUUGGCUCAGCAGUUAAGAGUGAAUACCAUCAAGUUUGCAGAGGACUACAGUUCAAUUAUCAGCACUCAGAUCAGACAACUCACUACUGCCUGUAACUCUAGCUCAAGGGGAUCUGACAUCUCCAGCCUCCUCAGGGACCUGCACUCUCUCUUGCCACAUCUUAGAGAGUGGGGAAGCAAUGCUGUCCUGGAUGCCCUGGGAUCUAGCAAAAGUUUGAUCACUGAGCAGAGGAUCAAGUCGGACAUGGAGAAAUGAGAUUGUCAGUGCUACAGGCAGCCUGCGGAAAGACAGAUAAUCAGCAAGCAAACACUUAGAGCAGAACUGGGGUGUGACCACACUAACAGCAAAGGGGAGAUACAUGUCAGAGAUAAAAAAGGGUGACAUGCAAAGGCCAGAACAUUCUGUGUCUCUUCUGUGCCACAGCAGAACCUUCUCAAACAGUGGAAAUAUUUUGGAUCUAUGUUGUCCAACAUAGUGACAGUUCACCUCCUGUUACUGCACAAUCACUUCUCUGAUAUGACUGAGUACUUUGAGGGGAGUCUAUCUGAGAGCAUUAAAAUGAACAGGGUAGAAACUUCCAAUCAUCUGGAAAUUCCCAGCCCUCCUUGGAGAAAGCGAAUCACCCUCUCGAGGCCCAUCUGAAGUGUGAAAUGCUUUUUGCCAGCCCAUAAAGAAUGUUUGGACUGCCACAAUGUGAAACCAAAACCCCACACUGGGGAGUCCUUGGCUUCUAGCAGAACUUGAACAGAUGUCCUGGGAGAAGCAAGGUCAAUUACCACCUUGUUGUGACCUGCCAGAGGAGCUGUCUGUCAUCGAUUGGCAACCCCACCACAGAAUGCAAGCCAAAGAUGGCAUGCCUCUUGACUAAAUUGUAGAGAAAUGUUCUGUUCAGCACUAGGAGGGGUUGAGGACAAAGCUCCAAGUGCCCUGCUACCUAACCACUUUACAGACCUAUCUCCUUUCAUCUUAGUUAUAUCCCCAAGGGGUAGGUCUGGGUUAUAAACCCUCACUUUGAGGACGCAAAGGUACACUAAGUAUACUGCCUUUCAGAGAUGGUCUGAGAUAGGAGUUAAAUUGACUGAUCUCUGAUUGCAUAUGGCCUUCUGCAAUGCCACGCCUCUCUUGAAACAUAUGGUUUUUGAUGCAAUAACAUUAACCUUUAAUCUUUUGUAUUGGGCAUACUGUUGAGGGCACAUCUAAGAAUCUCCUUGAGUGUAUUUUAAAACUUAAUGAGUCACAACCAUUCCCUUAAAACUACUAAGUUCCAGGUCUACUUUACUGUGUUCACCUAUUUCUAGACUUUAAUUUUCAGAGAGGUCUCGAGUUCACAGAACAACUGAAGAGAAUUCAUAAUCUUCCCAAGUGUGUUCCCCCAUCUCUCCCCUUGAUGAAGUGUGUUUUAUAACAAAUGAUUAACCAAUACUGCUGAUGAGCUACGGCCCCUGGUUUAUAUCAGGGUUCAUCAUUGAUGUGCUCUCUGAGAUUUCAUCAUGUGUAAGGCCAUGAACCCACCGUUACAGAGUCAUAUAGACGACAUCCCUUGCCCUAAAAUUCCUCUGUACUCCUAUUCUCAUGCCCCUGAAACGCCAGGUAAUCACCGGCCUCUUCUUUUUAAUAGUCAGACCUGUAUCAUGUACUCGGAGUCAGGAAACACAUAACCUCUUCAGAUUGGCAGGUUUUACUUAGCAAUAUGCGUUAAAGUUCCCUGUGUCUUUUCAUGGCUUUACUCUAUCUUAUGAACAUAGCACAUUUCAUUAAUUACACACCUCCUGAGGGUGUCCGAGUUGGUUUCAGUUUGGAUUGAGAUAGUCUAGGGCCAUUUAUCUCUUUAUUUUUUAUUUUUGAUCUAUUCUAUUAUCUAGCCACAUUAACUUGAUGUCUGUCACUUUGUGUGGAAGUCAUGUAUUAGUUGCCUGAUUAUUAUGCCCUUAUCAGGCAGCUCAUAGUUGAGCUUUUACCUCUGCAUAUGAACAUUAAAGUCAUUCUGUUAACAUUAAUAAAUCUUUCUUGGCUUUGAUUGGGGUUUCUCUGAAUCUACAUGUCAAAUUGGAAGGAUUGUGAAGUUAUAAGCCAGGUAAGUCUAUCCACAAAUGGAAAAGUUAGCGAUUAGAAUGGUGGCCUGGACACACAAUCAUUGUUCCAACCAGAAACUCAGUUAUAUUUGUAUCUUAUACAUAUCAUUAAGACAUCAAAAAUAAUGAGGUAGCCGAUAACUAAGAAAAGUUAAAAAGCGAACAGACUUUUUAAAAGUGAGAUAGCCACACACUCUGCUGUGACCUUCAUGUCUGUACUGCUUCUUCAUAACUAUGCAUGGUCCUGCUAUCCACUGAAGAAGGAGGGAUACCCUAGAAAUCUGCUCCCUCUAGCCAAGAUGCUAACACUCAGAAGAGAAGUCUACCAUGAUUCCUUCUUGUCUCAGUGGUCAGAGCUUAUUACUAACACUGUGGGAAAAGAGAGAUCAAAAGCCCUCUAUCUUGGUACUAAUCAUAGAUGGGGUCCAUGACAAAUACAACUCCAUGGCUUUGGAAAAUAGGGUGCUCCCAGAUUUCCACCAAGGAUGCUACACCUGUACACUAACAUCCUAACCUGUUUUCCUUUAUAGCCUCUCUCCAUGUGUUUUACUGAACGUAUCUAACAUCAUCUCCCAAUGUUGCCCAUCCUUGCUACUGUAGUUAAGAGUCACCAUACAUUCUGAAAGCAACAGAAGUAUUCUCACCAAGUGGUAUCCAUGCUAGGGCAAUACUCACUCUUUUGUCUCUAUCUGAAUAAUUUCAGAAAUCUCAUAGAGCACUUAUUCUCCAUAGAGUCUCUUCAGCUGGCAGAGAACUAGGCUUCUGAGGGGCUCAACAUAAUGACUACCAUAAUGAGGCACAAAAGACUACAUCAUACCAUUGCUGACAUUUCCUGAGCACUAUCUAUGAUUUGGGUAUAAGCUCAAUUGCUUCACAGGUUAAUCAUUCAAUCACACACACACACACACACACACACACACACACACACACACCUCACAUCACCUUACACACCUCACACACCUUAGUCCUAAUGGUUCUUCCAUUUUACAAAUGGAGGCACUGAGAAUAGAUAAGGUGAGUUGACUCUCCCAAAAUUGCACAGUCAAAAUGGUAAAGCCAAAAUUCAGACUUGGAUUAUGUAGGUACCACAGUGUUACACCAUUUUAACAAUUGUCAACCUGAAUGUGGCCUACUCUAAACUGCGGCUAGCUCAGAACAGAUCAGGCUGCUACUUAAUUGACCCUUGCUACUCUCACUCCACGGGCACUUCCACCCUCCUCACCUUUUAUACAUUCAUUAGGACCCUCCUCAAAUACCACAUGUCCUAAGAAGUCACAUUCACCAGCAGACUUAACAUUCCUUUUUAAAAGUCUCAACAGAUACAAAGAUGAAAAUAAAAAUAACUUCUUUUGCCAACAGGAACACAUUCUUAACACUUGGUACACAUAUUUCCACACUGCACAAAAAUAGUUACUGUAAACAUGUUCCCAUGUCAUUCAACAUUAACAGCUUAAUGUGUGAUUGCCCAACCUUCCAAUGCAUGAGUAUUCUAAUUAAAUAUCAUUUUAAACAUCAGAUCUCUCCAAAGAUUAACAUGGCCAGCUCAGCAAAAAUUUGUCACGACAAAUACCAACAGGCAAAGUUUUGGAACAUUGGCAGAGUGCAGGUCCAUGGCUCUACACCAGUUUCCCACAGUGCCUAGGCAAGAUGUAAAGACUGAUUCAUUAAUGGACCUGCAUUGGCCAAUGGCCAAGUCAUCUUCAUUACUGCCAAUAUUUAUUUUCUGGCAUGGAUUUUAAGCUCUAGAACAGAAGGAUAAUCAUCUUAACUUACCAUAUUUACCAUAUUGCAUUAUUUAACUAUUUAAAGGCUAGCCAUGAAAACAAACAGAUAUAAGUUCCUAACAUUGGUUCUUGUAUAUACAAAUUAAAAUUGGUACUUCAUGUUCAGUUUCAGUUCAGGACUAAUGUCCCAAUAACACCAGUAACAAUAAUCAAUGCUUUAUAAUACUUGGAUGCUCAUCACCCCAUUUGAUUUUCAAAACUACUGCAAACACAGAUAUUAUUAGAGAUUUGUAACAGAAGCCCAGAAGGCCCCAGGGGUUUAUCCCCAAUGGUCCCGGGGAAGUUAACAUUCAAGUCUCAGUGUUAUGUUUUAUAUUAGCAGUAUAAUGCAGUAUAAUUGUUGUGACCUUGGUGGGUCCAUGCUGAGGGACCCCCUGAACAUAUGGUGAUAUGACAGGCCUGGUGUAAAAGGAAGUUUACUGGGGGGAAGGGAAGAAGAACUGAAAAUUGGGUAGAGGCAGGGAAAAUGGGGGAGAAGGAUUGAGAGAGAAAAAGAGAAGAGAGGAAGAGAAGAAGAAAGGAAGAGAGGAAGAAAGAGGAGAGGCUGGCCAGGAAUAUGUGGGGACAGAAAAAGAGAAUGAGUAAAGAAGGGGAAGAGAUAGAAGGUGGUAACCAGUGGUUGUCAUCUAUGCCUGGCUUGUACCUGGUGGGCUGAGGCACAGCAGUUGCUAGGUUGCUGUUGGGUGGCACCUAGCAGAAUUGUCUGUAAGCUAACACUCAAACCUCCAACCAAAACAUUGUGCUCAUUUUAAAUCACAACAUGAUGCCUCUCCAACAUCCCUGCUCCACAGACAAUGGAACACUCCUGGACAAGGGUUCCAUAAUGAAAGAAAGUGAUAUCCAUUUACCUACAGGAUGCAGAGUAAGUGCUUCCCCGCUUCAUAGGCAACCUUCCAGAGAAGGCUCUGCCAUUCAUUCUAGAAUAUGGGCAUCCAACAUUUGAUACUGUGAUAUGACACUUGUUUACAAAUGUUUUGGAGUGCAUCUGAAGGCUUAAGACAACUGUUCUAGAAUACACUGCAAGAAAACCCAGACUCAUUUGACUUAAGCUGUGCAUGCAAACUGGGAUAUAUUUCUUCUCAGACAUGCUCCUCAAGUUCCCAGCUUACAAUCUUUCCAAGACAGCUUCAUUUGUCGCACAGCAUGGUGGCCCCAUAGCAAGAGCUCCAUCUGGGGCCCAGAUACCUCAGAAAUGCAGAUGAGCCAUCACAGUUAGAAACAGAUACACCUGUGGUCAGCAACAGAGACAAUAAGAACAUAACGAUUGGAAUUAAGAACCUUCAAUCCUAGACGAAGGGAGAACAUGGAAUAUAGACUUCAGGUUCAUUUGCAGAUGAAUAAUUUGACUAGAUCACAUCAAAAAAUCUAUAACCUGUGCAUAUGUGGAAUGAAAAAUGACUUAUUUGCUAAAUUUUAUGCAAGGGGUUCCUGGCGCCUGGAAGUUAUAUGCAGUUGUUAAAUGAAGGAGUAGAUAUUUUCUUUAUAUCCUGGUCUUUUUCUAAUGCUUUAAAUGUGGCAAUAGAAAUAUUUAGAUAUUCUGUAAUAUUUAUAGAAUAGCAUAAACAAUAAGAGGACCAUAUCCCUCAGCCUUCUAGGACAGAUUUUAUGAGAAGACCAGAGAACUCUCUAUUAGGUAGAUUCCAGAAUGUACUCUGAAGGGGACAAAGUAGAACCAGUACCCAAAUCACUAUGAUCCUUCUAUAACUGUUGAAUAUUUUGUAAAACACUAUUCCCUGAACUUCAACUGUAGAAACCCUGAUCUGUAUGCCUGAGAUGGAUCCCAGAAAUGGCACACAAGGAGCAACUCCCCAGGUGAUUGUUGUAGGUCCCUGUGAGCAUCUCUGAACAAGAUAAAGAUCUUAAAGCAGCUGCUAACCUUAAAUAAUUCAUUGAAAAUUCUCAGUGUAUGACAGCUAAAAAUCCCCAUGCCCAUGCCCCACCAAGACCAGAGGAAUCAGCCGUCAUCCUGGGUUGGAUGUGCUUGCCCUACUGAGUAGUGGGAAAAGCAAAGAGCCAGCAAGUCAAGUGUCCCUUACUUGAUCCUUGGUUCUAUCAUUCACCGUUACUAGUCGUCUUAUGCCAGAGUCCAUUCUUUCAUCAUAAAGGAGCAGAAAGACCUAAUUCAUUUGCUAUGGCAAACAUUCAGUAGGUAUAUACUUGAAUUUUUCCUUUUGUUAUUGUAACAUUCCACAAAGGAGGAAUGCUAUACAAUGGUACUUUCUAUACUAGUGAUUUUGUUAUAAACAGAAAGUCUACAGGGCAAGAUUAGAGAGAGAAAUCUCUAAUCUAUGCUCUAAUUUCUAGGUGUGUGCUAGUUCAUUGCUAGGUUAUCCCCAGCCUUUUAAAAGGGGACCUGGCAAUGUCUGCACAUUGAAUUCUGUCCUAUUCUUUUGUCACCCCACUUCAUCUAACUGCCCAUGCUAUGAGAUAAUAUAAACAGGACAGUGAGACAUUGAAAAAAGAAUAUCAAUGUCGUUCAGCCAGAGGUAUCUGUGUAAAUUUGCUGCAGUUGCUGCAACUCAGUAAUAUAAACUGUGUGGCUUCAACAGCAGAUGCCCAUUGUCUUAUGGAUUCUUGAAACAAACAUCCAAGAUCAAAGAACAGGUAGUACUAGUCCAUCCAACGUCUAUGAGAGACAAUCCGUCUCAGCUUCUUCCCAGAUUCCAGCAAUUUGCUGCCAACUUUCCAUGUCCCUGAAUUGUAGACACCUCACCCAAAUGUCUGUAUACAUCCUCACAUUCUCAGCUGUGGUUAAACAAUAACAAAAGGAAAUUCAAGAGGCCAGAACCACUAAACAGAAUCCAAUUCUUUACUAGGACAAUACAUACUGGUUAGCUGGAGCUGAGAAAUGAGUGGUGGUUAAGAAGAGUCCAGAGCAUCAUAAAGGUGAAAUCUUCUGGGAAGUAUUAUUUGGUGUCAUCACACAGAAGCAGUGGUCCAGAAGGGACCAAGGAUGUAUCUCAUGAUGUCAGCCAUACUUAGUAAGGUGCAAGAGUUUCCCAUAUGGUACUUGUUCUAAAGGCAUGAAGGGGUCAUGGAGAAUUGCUCAGGCUUGGCUUAGCUAAAACAGCUGAAACAGUACUUCAUCCAACACCUUUUGCUUCAGAAACUACCAGAAGGAAAUCCUUUAGCGAUCACGUGGAACUCACUCUCCUUCCACAAUGCAUCUGUGCCCUUCCCAUCUUCCUUCUGUACUUCUGGCUAAGCAGGAUUUAUCAAACAGUAAGUAGGGUGUUGCUAACCCUGGGCUGCUUCUGGGUGACUUGCUACUGGCUUAGAAAAUUGGGCAGACUGUCUUGAGUUUAGUGUUUGCCCCUAGUUCCCUCUUGGUUCCUGGACCUCAGCCCCCUAGUCUUGGCAAACCCUGUAGCCCUGGGUUAAGAACACAGUUCUGCCCAGCAGGUAUUCCAGGGCAGGCCCUCUAUAAAGCACCAUGUGUGCAGCAAAGUAAAAUGAAACUCCAACUCUUAUUUAACAAAUUCUGUCUCUUCUAACACAGACAUACAUUAGGUUAACUUUUUCCUAAUGUGUUCCUUUUACUUUUCCAAACAAAGCAGGGCACAGAAGACGUUUAGAAGAGCUAAGUAAGUGAAAUGACUUUUUAAAGGAUCUCUCACAGAUUGUUGUAGAGACGCAGUGGUGGUUAGGAAUACAUCUUGUCAUGGAUUCUUCACUGAAUGUGUUUAUUUAGUCCUUUUGGAGGAAUGAGCAUCCACAUACAUGCUAAGUGGAGGAGGGGAAAAAUUCAAAUAGACACCUGGAGACAAAAGCCAACUGCCCUGUGCUAAAAUGUGACUUCCUGGAUAGGACUGAAGACUAGACUCAACAUCCACAAGCAGCUACAGCCUGAGGCAUUUCCCAUGGGAAUACACCAGAGAGGCUACAACAAUGGGAAGCUCUGAGAGCAUUCAGAGUAAUUACAAACAGGUUUAUGGGGAACUCAGUACCCAAGAAUGCCUUUCCACGAUUCAGUAAGUUUAUGGCUCUUUCAGAGCUUGGCAAAUAUCCCUGAGCAGAGGAGAAGUUAUCCCCUUCAAAAUACAGAAAGUGCCUUGUGAAUAAAAAAUGAUAUCACCAUAGCAACACAUGGAUGUUUCCACUCAAAGUGGGCCUUCUAGGCCUGGCCUUAAAAAGACAGUGUCCUCUGAAGAGGACAGACAGGCCUAUGUCUUAGAUUUAAUAGUUGCCAAGGGGCCAGCUACAGAUCCUUAAAACAAUGGUAUAAACAAGAGCUCUCAGGGACUAGAGGCUUGUUCCAUACACAGAAGUCGAGGAAACCACCAUAAGGAACGUGGGCAAUCUUCAUUUCAGGUAUAUGAAGAGCCAUUAUUACUCCCAUGCUCUUGAAAUAAACCAGAAGCCUCCAAAGGUCAGAAUGCUGUCCAAGGUUACAGAUGUAUGUGGAAGAACCUACACUGUUAUAAACCCCAGAGGACAAAUUCAAACUCCUCAUGCUUCUCCACACUUAGCCCUAACACUUGGCUAACACUGAUCAUCCGCUGAGCCCAAGAUGGCAGUCCACCUGGAAGGCCCAAACCCUGGUACCAAAAUGACACCCUGCCUGCCAUGAAGUUAACUGUUCAAGUAGCCUCAAGGAAAAUACAUAGCCUAUGGAGUCUCUAGUCUGGGAAGUGAGGGUAUCUUGGGUUCCUUCCUAAGAGUAUCUGAGGGCUUAUGAUGCUCUGGGAAAUUUCAAGAAAACUGAUAUGUGGCUGGCCAACUAGCCCAAACUGUGAGAGGUCAGACCCAAAUUAAUAUCUGGCUAUGCUAGAGGCUUCCCUGGGUACAUUACAUGCAAAAUUGGCAGUUCAGGGGAGAUCUUGGCUUAGCAAAGAACUAACUAAUAAGUGAGAGGAAACUCUAUUUCACACAAUUUUUUCCAUUAAAGCUAAGAAUAUAUAGUCACUAUCUUCUAAUAAAGCUACAAAGCUGCAGUUGAGCCUACAAAAUGGCAAUCUUGACUAUUUGAUGAGACAGGACUCUGGGUCUGAUUAAUGUCAGUAUGAUGGUUGUAUAUUUGAAAGUAUUUUUAUAAUAGUUUAUACAAUAUCUUAAAGCUGUAGGUGAAAAUAUUUGCAUUUUAAAAUAGUUCAUAAGGUUAAAAGUUAUGUGGUAUUGGUGACUUCCUCAUAUAUAAUUUUUAAAAAACGUCUAAGAGGAGGUAAUGGAUGUGAUGGAAUAACCAACUCUGAGCUUGUUCUUCAUUCAUCCCCUUGUAAUCAGAUUUUUCUGCUCUUCUCACCAGUAGAUGGUGCUAUCUCUUGAACUUGGACUGUCUUUGUGCCUUGAUUCGACCAUGAAAAUCACUGAAAAUGAUACUACUUCAAUUUCCCAGGUCAGGCUUCAGGGACCUUGUGCACUUCCCAGUUCUCCACCACCCCUUUCAGUGAAUCUGAGAAAGACACUGCAGUGGAGUGAAGGAAUAAGAGACCUAGGCAAUUGUUAGUCAACCUCAGGACAUGAGAAACCAUCCUAAUCCUUCUUACUCACCGAUUACCCCAAAUGAUCAUACUCACACAAAGAAGCUCUGUUGAGAUCAGAUGGUCCUGUCCAGUUCAGUAUGAAUGCUGUGCUGACUCACCGACCCAUGCACCAUAGCAGAUAUUGGUAGAUUGAAACAACCAAGUUUAAGGAUAUUUGUUAUACAGCCAUAGCUAACUGAUACAGCAGGUUUCCCAGAGUAUGAAUGAAAGCUUUUUUCCAACACACCCACCCACGAGGCAGACAGGAGUUUGUUCUGUUCUAGAGUCUAUUCUUUAUAAGAAUAUACUACCAUAUCUGUUAUUUGAGUAUGUUAGGUGCUAGAGUAAACUUCUUCUGCUCUAAUUCCUUACUUAAUUCUGGUAGCAAAGUAUUCUCCAUAGCCACAUAGCCAUAUUGAGAUUUAAUAUUUUCGUAUUAGACGCCAGGAAAGGAGAAGUGGACUGAAGUCACAUGAUGUGUGACAUCAAAAAAGUAAAUCUAAGGAUAACUUAUCUCAAGCUCACAUGCUUAGAAAGCUCUGUUUCUAAUUUGUUCUUAAUUAGUUAUGCAUUGCAAGGUUUAAAAAGUUUCCACCAUGGCUGGACAGCAACUUCAUGUGCAUUUUUCCAGUAGGAGAGUCCAAGAGUAACUAAUCUCCCGAUUCCCCCACUGCAAGAGGACAAGCAGAGAAUACCUACUUCUUUCUGGUACCCAGGAAGGAAAGCUAUUUACUCCAUACAAACAUCAGGAGAUGGGUCUAAGCUAGGCUUAGAAAGCUUAAUCUAUGAGCCAGACAGUCAGUACUUCAGCUGUUAUUGUCUCGUUCUACCACACAACCAGCCACAGAAACACACAAAUGAGAGGGGAUAACUGGAUUUACCCUGCAAAAAGGCAGCAUUUACUCUACAAAAGAAGAUAGAGUUCAUCAAGCCAUAGCUGCAGGAUUGAACAAGGAAGGAGAAAUAUAUGGAAAUGUUAGUGCUCCUAUUCCCUAGAGUUAGGAAACAAUAAUAAAAGGUCUAUUAAAAGUGUCUUAAUAUUAAUAGCAUCUGAAUCAUCAAUCCUUUUUAUAAUAUGAGAGAUGAUUAAUUGUUUCUUAAUGAAUGGAUGGACUCAUCUUGAGUUACUUGCCAUAUAUGAGCUCCCAGCUCAGGAUGAAGAGGACAUAUGAGGCUAUAUAUUUUUCCCUUGAGCAAAAAAAAAAAAAAGAUGGUGGGAGGUAAGUCUAACAUCCAACACAGUUGUCAUAUAUAGUCAACUGUGCCAAUGAUCAUUCAAAAUAUAGUUUAACUGAUGGUAAUUCAAGCUUCAGAAACAGGUGUGAGCAAAGUUCUGAUUCUUCCACCGAGUGAUUUUUUUUGACAUCUUUAUAUUAGACAUAUUUUUUUCAAAACAUUGGCCUGUGGAGUGAAGCUGAAGACUAAACAAAACUGCCUACCACAAGGAUUCUCAGUAAUCACUGUCAAUCAAAUCAAAUGGUAACUCCAGGGACUCCCUUGCAACAAUACAGACCUGACCACUGCUUAUCUGGCAGAAUCAAGCAUCAAACAUUCAGACAGGCAUGGACACCCCAUCAAUAGACACCUCAGCUAUUACUCUUUUGUGUACAAAAGUAGGGUGAAUGGACAGAGAUUUCCUCUACAGGUCCUUUAAACACUUAAAUAUAAUUAAUCCACCGCCAUUUUCAGCUAAGUGCAUUCUUGCCUAUUAGUUAAAUAUGAAAAGCUAUCCAGCCGAUGUGCAAAGAACUGAACAGCUUUGAAUAGCAGUCACUUCCUUCUUAAUACCUAAGUUCAAUACUUGCAGACAUGGAAGGCUUUGUUUCCUAUUGGAAAUAGCAUUGUCAAAAUGAUAGCCACUAACAACAUGUAGUCAUGCAAACUAAAAUUGAGUAAAAUUUAAAAUUUAAUUCUUUGCUUGUAUUAGUCCCAUUUCAAGCUGCAUCACUAUAUGGUACAGACGGAGAAAAUUGUCACAGAAAUUCUAGACAGAGUGUUCUAGUUUAGAUUAACGCAGCAUAGGCUAUUCCGUUCAGUGAUUAAUUCAGAGACACUAAAGCUGCCAUCAGAGAAAUGGACUCUACUUUUGUGCAUGGUCCCUGGUUUUGAGGGUACACUGGGCCACAUGCAGACCAGAACAGCAGCAUCUACAAAUACCUGGCAAAUGACAGGUAGGGAUCAGUGGACAAAAAUCCCACCUGUCAUGGGGUCUAGCUUGGUCACUCUGAGUGACAUAUUAUCUUGAGGUUUCCAGAGUUGCUGGGUAACAGCAAACCCAGGUGGCCCAUGUGAUUGCCUGUUGGCUCACACCCCCCUUACUGGCUCAACUUGGGUUAGUUCUGAGGGAACCUAACUAAGACAAUUAUGUCAGUAAGACAGUCACAUUUAUCUUGGCACUGAAUGCUGCUGUCUGAGACCUAGUUAAUAUCACUGGUAAAAAUGACCACCAUUUGUGGAAUUAGCAUUUAAGAUCUCAGAAAAAAAGGUAUGCCUUUAACUGUCUUACUGGGUGUAUAUACUUUCUAUAUUUUCUGAGCUUUGCAGCACUCUUGUCCGUUUUUAUUUUAUUUUAUUUUUUUACUGUGUUGAUAUUUCUCAGCUUGAUCAUUUGCUUAAUUGCCAGUUCUACUUUUAGAACAUUUAGCUGUUUCCAAAAAUCAAGCCACUCUUCAGUGACAUCUGGCCUCCAUUGAGAAUACUGAAAAGAACAUGUCCCGGGCUCUGAAAGCAAUUCCCACAGUCCAGCUCUCAGGCCCUUUAGCCAAUAGCAAGUCAUUAGAAUAAAUGGAGCCCAGCCAUGGAGGGCAGGGCUGCUCAUUUCCCUUGUUUCCUGUGUGACUUCUGAAACCCAGUUUCUUCAUGGUCAGGUCUAUCUGCCCAUUUCUCUCACUACCUUUUUGUUCAGAUAUGGUUCCCAUCCCACAGAAUUCAACCACCAAAAGCAUGUGAUUUGGGCUGCAGCAGGUUACCAGGGCGCCGUCGUGGGAAGCAGGAGAGAAAUGAAAGCAUGGUUUACCAAUGAAGGAGAAAUGGAAACAGAAGGAGGAUCCUGGUAUCCAUAUAUGAGCACAUCAACGCAGUGGGAGCUCUCAUGGAAAUCAAGGAAACCAGUUAGCAAACUCGUAGAAGUAGGACCUGUGGCCUUGUCUUUUCCAGCAAACCCCUGACACCACUGCUUUCUUAGUAUCCUUUGGCUGAGCUAAGUGUGAACUGGCAAUAGGGCUGAGCCUCCGGCUAGGUGACAACAUUGCCCGGAGCCUCUGGCUACACAUGGAGCAGGGUGAUCAUCAGUACGUCUGUAUUUGGAAACAUACAAGGCAUGCAGAGGCCGGCACUACGAAGUGGCUAUGAGUAGGGCCACUCCCUCCCUUUGCCAGAAGUUUCCAUGGUCUCAUAGUUUGAAGGAUUUGUCCUCAGAUAUAAAACUCACUGCAGAACUACAGUGCUGGGAUCCUGGCAUAGCAUGGUUUCUCUCCAGAACAUUCCAUCCCUACUUGGUGUUGAGUGAAAAAAAAAACCCUUUCAAAUAAAUAUCCUCUUCUAAA
Molecule: long non-coding RNA, 43522 nt
Organism: Mus musculus (house mouse)
Lineage: Eukaryota; Metazoa; Chordata; Mammalia; Rodentia; Muridae
Product: predicted gene, 52529
Exons: 3
Source: RefSeq, a predicted model, not a curated record